RNAcentral lists this non-coding RNA (219 nucleotides) under Enterococcus rivorum. RNAcentral's name for it is "T-box sequence". It matches the Rfam family "T-box leader". From Rfam's summary of the family: Uncharged tRNA acts as the effector for transcription antitermination of genes in the T-box leader family. T-boxes are found upstream of many aminoacyl-tRNA synthetase genes and some amino acid biosynthetic genes usually in Gram-positive bacteria. The record is from RNAcentral. Lineage: Bacteria; Bacillati; Bacillota; Bacilli; Lactobacillales; Enterococcaceae.
AUAGCGACAAUGAAGAGGAAUAGUAGAAAGAACUUUGUUUUAGAGAACGUAUGGCUGGUGAAAAUACGUACAAAAGCUUUUGAACUCGCCUUUGAGUUAUUCUAUUGAAUCGUAGUAGGUAGAAUCGGUGACGACCGUUACAACGUUGAAGGCUUACAAUGACGGAAGUAUUUGUAAGUAAAAAUAGGUGGUACCACGUUGCAUGUCUACGUCCUAUAG